This 147-nucleotide unclassified non-coding RNA is filed under the name soil metagenome. RNAcentral's name for it is "partial internal transcribed spacer 1". The record is from RNAcentral.
CCGAGUUUACAACUCCCAAACCCCUGUGAACAUACCUAUACGUUGCCUCGGCGGAUCAGCCCGCGCCCCGUAAAAAGGACGGCCCGCCCGAGGACCCCUAAACUCUGUUUUUAGUGGAACUUCUGAGUAAAACAAACAAAUAAAUCA